RNAcentral lists this ribosomal RNA (699 nucleotides) under Halovibrio variabilis. RNAcentral's name for it is "bacterial SSU rRNA". It matches the Rfam family "Bacterial small subunit ribosomal RNA", at positions 49 to 743 of the family's 1533-position model. Lineage: Bacteria; Pseudomonadati; Pseudomonadota; Gammaproteobacteria; Oceanospirillales; Halomonadaceae. The record is from RNAcentral.
UAACACAUGCAAGUCGAGCGGUAGCAGGUCCUUCGGGAUGCUGACGAGCGGCGGACGGGUGAGUAAUGCAUAGGAAUCUGCCCGGUAGUGGGGGAUAACCUGGGGAAACCCAGGCUAAUACCGCAUACGUCCUACGGGAGAAAGGGGGCUCCGGCUCCCGCUAUUGGAUGAGCCUAUGUCGGAUUGAGACUAGUUGGUGAGGUAAUGGCUCACCAAGGCAACGAUCCGUAGCUGGUCUGAGAGGAUGAUCAGCCACAUCGGGACUGAGACACGGCCCGAACUCCUACGGGAGGCAGCAGUGGGGAAUAUUGGACAAUGGGGGCAACCCUGAUCCAGCCAUGCCGCGUGUGUGAAGAAGGCCCUCGGGUUGUAAAGCACUUUCAGCGAGGAAGAACGCCUGUCGGUUAAUACCCGGCAGGAAAGACAUCACUCGCAGAAGAAGCACCGGCUAACUCCGUGCCAGCAGCCGCGGUAAUACGGAGGGUGCAAGCGUUAAUCGGAAUUACUGGGCGUAAAGCGCGCGUAGGUGGCUUGAUAAGCCGGUUGUGAAAGCCCCGGGCUCAACCUGGGAACGGCAUCCGGAACUGUCGAGCUAGAGUACAUGGAGAGGAAGGUAGAAUUCCCGGGUGUAGCGGGUGAAAUGCGUAGAGAUCGGGGAGGAAUACCAGUGGCGAAGGCGGCCUUCUGGACUGAUACUGA